This 485-nucleotide ribosomal RNA is filed under the name uncultured bacterium. RNAcentral describes it as "partial 16S ribosomal RNA". It matches the Rfam family "Bacterial small subunit ribosomal RNA", at positions 28 to 507 of the family's 1533-position model. The record is from RNAcentral.
GACGAACGCUGGCGGCGCGCCUAACACAUGCAAGUCGAGCGAUGAAAUUUUAACCGAUCUCUUCGGAGAGAAGAUAAAAUGGAUUAGCGGCGGACGGGUGAGUAACACGUGAGAAACCUGCCUUUCACAAGGGGAUAGCCUCGGGAAACCGGGAUUAAUACCCUAUGACACAUUUCCUUCGCAUGGCAGAAAUGUUAAAACUCCGGUGGUGAAAGAUGGUCUCGCGCCUGAUUAGCUUGUUGGUGGGGUAACGGCCCACCAAGGCCAUGAUCGGUAACCGGACUGAGAGGGUGACGGGACAGAUUGGGACUGAGAUACGGGCGAGACUGAUAAGGGAGGCAGGAGGGGGGAAUGUGGCAGAAUGGGGGGAAGCCUGAUGUAGUAACGCCGCGUGCGGGAUGACGGACGUCGGGUUGUAAACCGCUUUCGCCUGUGACGAAGCGUGAGUGACGGUAAUGGGUAAAGAAGCACCGGCUAACUACGUG